RNAcentral lists this long non-coding RNA (1411 nucleotides) under Homo sapiens (human). RNAcentral describes it as "HSALNT0347862". Lineage: Eukaryota; Metazoa; Chordata; Mammalia; Primates; Hominidae. The record is from RNAcentral.
ACUACAAGUGUCGAGGGGCCUAGGGGAAGCCGGGGCUUGGGAGGGCAGGGCUUUCUCUGCUUGCGGACAUCGCGAAGGGCCUCUGGCAGGCGCCGCCGGGUGGCGGCGAGACGCCUCCGCGCCUCCGGGGUUCCUUGUUCGCUGUCGGAGGAGGACCGGCUGAGGGAUGGCCUGGUGGGGAGGGAGCCCUCGGGCAGGUGGCUGCGUCGGGCCUGGGGCAGUUGUGCUGCGCUUGGAGACCUGCCCGCCCUCGGGGCCUGUGUGCACAGGGAGGAUAGGCUGUUUAUCUCUGCAGGCUCAGGAAGGCAGGUAGCUGGCCCGUCAGUCAUCCGCCCUGCAAAGCGCUCCCGAGAGACCCCGUAGAGCGGGCCAGCGCGCGCCUGGCCUGAGGUUUCCCGCCCCCGGAGGCCCUCACAUCUCCCCGGUAACGCUUAGGAAUUCGGGCAGCCAGCUCGCCUACCCCUGGGGAAUCGAGGCAGAGCUUCUGGGAAUGGGGUCUGAGGGAAGAGUGCUCACCAGGCAGUGACAUGUAGCCGUUGAGGAUCGCCACUGCCUUCUCGUUCUGUGUUCUGUAGUCAGAAGUCCAACAUGGUUCUCAAUGGCCUAAAAUCAAGGUGUCCACAGGAUUGUGUUCCUUUCUAGAGAGCAAGCUGCAGUGUGGUAAACUGCCUUUGAAAGAGACCCACAUGUCAAGAAACUGAGCAUCACCUGUGACCAACAGCCAGAAAGUAACUGAAGCCCCAAGACGAACAGCUUGUGCAAAACUAAAUUCUGCCUACAACAAGAGCAUGAAUUGAGACGCAGAUCCUUCCCUAGUUGAUCCUUGAAAUGCUUGCAGCUCUAUGGACACCUUGAUUGCAGCCUUGUGAGAAAUUCUGAACUAGAGGACCUCGUAUGCCUUACCCAUAGGUCUUACAAGAUAAUACGUGUUUUUCAAAAAAGUAAGUUUGGGGAUAAUUUCUUAUGCAGCAAUAGAUAAUGAAUAAUAAAGUAAAUACAGUUUUUUGCUGUUGACUUCAAAAAUGUUUAAAGAUUUUACUGUUAUAUAAUUGUACAUAUUUAUGGGGUACAUGUGAUAUUUUGAUACAUGCAUACAAUGUGUAAUGAUCAAACUGGGGUAAUUUGAAUAUCCAUCACCUCAAAUGUUAUUUAGUGGUAUUGGGAACAUUCCAAAUCUUGUAGGUAUUUUGAAAUAUACAAAAAGUUAAUUUUAUAUAUAAAUAUAUGUCAUAUAUUAUUAAUAUAUUAAUAAUAUAUGCCAUAUAUAUAUAUGUAUGUAUAAAUGCCAUAUAUAUUAAUUACAUGUAUGGCAUGUUUUCUUUUAUACAUUUAUCCACUGAUAAACACUUAGGUUCCUUCCUUACCUUGGCUAUUGUGAAUAGUGCUGCAAUAAACAUGGGAGUGUAGAUAA